Molecule: ribosomal RNA, 415 nt
Filed under: uncultured eukaryote
Lineage: Eukaryota
Description: SSU rRNA
Rfam family: Eukaryotic small subunit ribosomal RNA
Source: RNAcentral
CAAUAGCGUAUAUUAAAGCUGUUGCAAGUUAAAAGCUCGUAGUUGGAUCUCGGGUCCAGACUAGCGGUUCACCUCGCGGUGAUUACUGCCCGUUCUGACCUACCUACCGGUUGUCCCUUGGUGCUCUUGACUGAGUGUCUCGGGGUGGCCCGGAACGUUUACUUUGAAAAAAUUAGAGUGUUCAAAAAGCAGGCAGUAACGCCUGAAUAAUGGUGCAUGGAAUAAUGGAAUAGGACCUCGGUUCUAUUUUGUUGGUUUUCGGAACUUGAGGUAAUGAUAAAGAGGGACAGACGGGGGCAUUCGUAUUACGGGUGUUAGAGGUGAAAAUUCUUGGAUCGCCGUAAAGACGAACUACUGCGAAAAGCAUUUGCCAAGCAUGUUUUCCUUAAUCAAGAACGAAAGUCAGAGGUUCGAA